This 592-nucleotide ribosomal RNA is filed under the name uncultured Bacilli bacterium. RNAcentral describes it as "bacterial SSU rRNA". It matches the Rfam family "Bacterial small subunit ribosomal RNA", at positions 149 to 729 of the family's 1533-position model. Lineage: Bacteria; Bacillati; Bacillota; Bacilli. The record is from RNAcentral.
AUUGGAAACGAUAGCUAAUACCGGCAUAAUAGUUUAUGACUCAUGUUAUAAACUUGAAAGAUACAACUGUAUCACUACCAGAUGGACCUGCGUUGUAUUAGCUAGUAGGUAGGGUAACGGCCUACCUAGGCGACGAUACAUAGCCGACCUGAGAGGGUGAUCGGCCACACUGGGACUGAGACACGGCCCAGACUCCUACGGGAGGCAGCAGUAGGGAAUCUUCGGCAAUGGGGGGAACCCUGACCGAGCAACGCCGCGUGAGUGAAGAAGGUUUUCGGAUCGUAAAGCUCUGUUGUUAAGGAAGAACGGGAGUAGGAGUGGAAAGCCUACUUUGUGACGGUACUUAACCAGAAAGGGACGGCUAACUACGUGCCAGCAGCCGCGGUAAUACGUAGGUCCCGAGCGUUAUCCGGAUUUAUUGGGCGUAAAGCGAGCGCAGGCGGUUAGAUAAGUCUGGAGUAAAAGGCUAUGGCUCAACCAUAGUGUGCUCUGGAAACUGUUUAACUUGAGUGCAGAAGGGGAGAGUGGAAUUCCAUGUGUAGCGGUGAAAUGCGUAGAUAUAUGGAGGACACCGGUGGCGAAAGCGGCUCUC